This 465-nucleotide ribosomal RNA is filed under the name Vreelandella stevensii. RNAcentral describes it as "partial 16S ribosomal RNA". It matches the Rfam family "Bacterial small subunit ribosomal RNA", at positions 338 to 795 of the family's 1533-position model. The record is from RNAcentral. Lineage: Bacteria; Pseudomonadati; Pseudomonadota; Gammaproteobacteria; Oceanospirillales; Halomonadaceae.
CCUACGGGGGGCUGCAGUGGGGAAUAUUGGACAAUGGGGGGAACCCUGAUCCAGCCAUGCCGCGUGUGUGAAGAAGGCCCUCGGGUUGUAAAGCACUUUCAGUGAGGAAGAACGCCUGGUGGUUAAUACCCAUCAGGAAAGACAUCACUCACAGAAGAAGCACCGGCUAACUCCGUGCCAGCAGCCGCAGUAAUACGGAGGGUGCGAGCGUUAAUCGGAAUUACUGGGCGUAAAGCGCGCGUAGGUGGCUUGAUAAGCCGGUUGUGAAAGCCCCGGGCUCAACCUGGGAACGGCAUCCGGAACUGUCAAGCUAGAGUGCAGGAGAGGAAGGUAGAAUUCCCGGUGUAGCGGUGAAAUGCGUAGAGAUCGGGAGGAAUACCAGUGGCGAAGGCGGCCUUCUGGACUGACACUGACACUGAGGUGCGAAAGCGUGGGUAGCAAACAGGAUUAGAUACCCCUGUAGUC